AAUGCUGUUGAUUCUGAAGUCAGAGCUGGCAGCAUUACUGGUGGCUCAGGAUGAAAAAGCACUUUCUCGCUCUGAUGAGGUAUAAAGGCAGCCUUAGAAACAUCCAUCAGAUACCCAAGGGGAAUCCCAUCAUCCGGUUCAACAGAAAUAAUAGCAGAACAAAUGGACACAAGAUACUGGCCACUCCUUUCAUCAACUCUUAGCACAUGCCUCUGAGGCACAGGGCUGCUCACGGCUACCACCACUGUGGAGAGCUGGAUCGCACUCCAGCCUGCCAACCUUUGAUGGACAGGUGGAGUGUCUAUAAUCCCAUGGAGGCUCUGUCCCUGUGCCUGCAGUCUGUUGGUCACGGUUUUGCGACUGAAACAGUUGGCCUGCUGAGGAUGGGCGGCUGAGCCUGGGUCUUAUGGGCUGCGGGGCUCUGGUUUGAUACCAACAUGCUCUGAUAAUGCUGGAAUUCUGCACAGGAGAAGGCACAAUGCUCCUGGAAGAACAU
This 496-nucleotide long non-coding RNA is filed under the name Mus caroli (Ryukyu mouse). RNAcentral's name for it is "lncRNA (MGP_CAROLIEiJ_G0004033.1)". The record is from RNAcentral. Lineage: Eukaryota; Metazoa; Chordata; Mammalia; Rodentia; Muridae.